This 537-nucleotide ribosomal RNA is filed under the name uncultured bacterium. Its description in RNAcentral is "partial 16S ribosomal RNA". It matches the Rfam family "Bacterial small subunit ribosomal RNA", at positions 355 to 881 of the family's 1533-position model. The record is from RNAcentral.
UGGGGAAUAUUGCACAAUGGGCGCAAGCCUGAUGCAGCCAUGCCGCGUGUGUGAAGAAGGCCUUCGGGUUGUAAAGCACUUUCAGCGAGGAGGAAGGUGGUGAGCUUAAUACGCUCAUCAAUUGACGUUACUCGCAGAAGAAGCACCGGCUAACUCCGUGCCAGCAGCCGCGGUAAUACGGAGGGUGCAAGCGUUAAUCGGAAUUACUGGGCGUAAAGCGCACGCAGGCGGUUUGUUAAGUCAGAUGUGAAAUCCCCGGGCUCAACCUGGGAACUGCAUUUGAAACUGGCAAGCUAGAGUCUCGUAGAGGGGGGUAGAAUUCCAGGUGUAGCGGUGAAAUGCGUAGAGAUCUGGAGGAAUACCGGUGGCGAAGGCGGCCCCCUGGACGAAGACUGACGCUCAGGUGCGAAAGCGUGGGGCAGCAAACAGGAUUAGAUACCCUGGUAGUCCACGCUGUAAACGAUGUCGAUUUUGGAGGUUGUGCCCUUGAGGCGUGGCUUCCGGAGCUAACGCGUUAAAGUCGACCGCCUGGGGGAG